This 253-nucleotide ribosomal RNA is filed under the name uncultured bacterium. RNAcentral's name for it is "partial 16S ribosomal RNA". It matches the Rfam family "Bacterial small subunit ribosomal RNA", at positions 524 to 776 of the family's 1533-position model. The record is from RNAcentral.
UACGUAGGGUGCAAGCGUUGUCCGGAAUUAUUGGGCGUAAAGAGCUCGUAGGCGGUCUGUCGCGUCGGAUGUGAAAACUCGGGGCUCAACCCCGAGCCUGCAUUCGAUACGGGCAGACUAGAGUUCGGUAGGGGAGACUGGAAUUCCUGGUGUAGCGGUGAAAUGCGCAGAUAUCAGGAGGAACACCGGUGGCGAAGGCGGGUCUCUGGGCCGAUACUGACGCUCAUGCACGAAAGCGUGGGGAGCAAACAGG